UGACGAGGGUGCAAGCGUUGUCCGGAAUUACUUGGGCGUAAAGAGCUUGUAGGCGGUUUGUCGCGUCUGCCGUGAAAGCCCAGGGCUUAACCCUGGGUCUGCGGUGGGUACGGGCAGACUAGGGUGUGGUAGGGGAGACUGGAAUUCCUGGUGUAGCGGUGAAAUGCGUAGAUAUCGUAAGGAAGACCAGUGGCGAAGGCGGAUCUCUGGACAGCUACUGACACUGAGGCACGAAGGCCAGGGGAGCAAACGGG
Molecule: ribosomal RNA, 254 nt
Filed under: uncultured bacterium
Lineage: Bacteria
Description: partial 16S ribosomal RNA
Rfam family: Bacterial small subunit ribosomal RNA
Source: RNAcentral